Molecule: long non-coding RNA, 1706 nt
Filed under: Haliotis rubra (blacklip abalone)
Lineage: Eukaryota; Metazoa; Mollusca; Gastropoda; Lepetellida; Haliotidae
Description: uncharacterized LOC124279414
Source: RNAcentral
GGGUUGAGCAGACGUGGACGCUUAUUUAAGCUGUAACAACCAGUGUUUGCUGUGAUAGUAGCUGGACGUGGGGCGAUGUAAGUCAAACGUAGAACAAUGGUAGACAAAGCAAGAACACUAUCUAAGUCACCAGUUUUUGAAGUAAACAGAAGCGGAAUUUAAACAAUUGGGACAAAGUGAAAGAUCCGUGUGUGUAUCGCAUGCGUCCGUCCGGCCUUACAGUGUUGCGGUAGAGGACAGGAGACAGCAUUCCUCGCGUGGGAUGUCAUGUCACUAGCAGUCAGGGCCAUUAAUAGAACGGACAACCAUCAACUCGUCCAACAAAACGACCAACAAGCUUCCAUCCAAUCCCCUCGCACGACGUUAAAGUGGCUGCUGCAGUGAGCGCUGUUCAGGACCCUGGUGGAACAAGACAUGCAGUGCUUCCUCUAUGGCAUGAUACACCUGGAGAGAACUGGCAAUGCUGUCUGAAUUAUUAUGUCUCAUUUAUGCCCAUUAAACAGACAUGUCACAUCAUUUGCUGACUUCCAUUUCAAACUAGAAAUUAGGACAUGAAAUGGGAGUCAUGUUGCUGUUGCUUCGGUUUGUCAUUAUGUUAACCCAAAGCUGAAAAUUGUGAGAUAAUGAAUUUCUUACUCUUAUCCACUUUUUGAAUAUAUUUAUGGACCACAUUUGAAAUGUUUAAUAAGUAAACUGUCCAUCUUAGAUGAUUUUCUCUGUUUUAAAGAGAAUAGUUGCUCCUUCGAAUGUGUAAUUGUUAUUAUAUCAAAAGUUGAAUUGUUUGUCUAAGUAAAUACACGGAAUUGUUCCAAAUAGGAAUAUUUUGUUAACUGAUUCAGUUUAUAACAAGUCCACUUAACAUGUCUUUUUUGUGGUAAAACACUGUCAGUAUAUCAUGAUAAACAUCUUGUUUGUCACAUGACAUUUCUUACCCUGUAUAUGUUUCUAUUGUUUCCAACGGGAGUUAUACAACGAAAUCCCUCUCAUCAUGUUUUACUGCUAAUUUUCAAUAUUGUGUGUCAGUUCCACGCCCAGACUGUUAUUUAACAGUUAUUCUGUUAAAUAUGUAUAUCUUUUAAGUUUAUUCUCAGCCUGCUUAUCUUAAGUUUCAAACGUUUUGUCAAGAUCAAAAUAUUCUGAAAUACUAGUAGAUAUUGAAAAACAAUUACUUAAAUUUUAUGUUUAUUUUAAAUAAGAAAUUUUGUCUAGGAUUACGGAUUCCUGCUUGUGUUUUGUGCAGACUGUGUAAGUAUUUCAACUAAUAUGCAAACAAUAUCAAGUUUAAAGCACUUUGGCAUCCAUUAUCGGUGUUUGUUCAAGGAAUGUAAUUUAUUACUUUGUGUUUCUAAAUUAAUGAAACUUGUUCCUCUUUUGUCAAAGCAGUGAAUUAUACCUGUCGUCACGUCUCGCAUUGCGCGAGAUUAGACGUUGUUUCCUCGUCCUCUCCGAGAUGUGUCCUUAUAAUUACUGCACCUAUAGAGGGCGGUAAAUCAACGUAUUGUGUGAACAUUUGCAGUUUAUAGCGCUACCUUUAUUAUCUAACCAAUCAUGACAUGUUCAAUCCGACGAGCACAGAACACUGGGCGGAGAAUGGACGCACACACAGCAUUCGACGGUUAUCAAGAUACACCGUUAAUUGCUUUUAACGUGUAUGAAUGCAGUCAGCUUGCUGAGAAAUUGCAAUAAAAAUAUUGGUAAUGAUGAAA